Molecule: long non-coding RNA, 380 nt
Organism: Ylistrum balloti
Lineage: Eukaryota; Metazoa; Mollusca; Bivalvia; Pectinida; Pectinidae
Exons: 4
Source: RefSeq, a predicted model, not a curated record
UUCCAAUAUACACCUUGCCGUCGAUUGCGAUUUGCUUUGUCCAUUAUAUUUCCGGAUUUGUGUCUUCAUUCUUCCGGAUCUCGGACAUUGCUCAAGUACAAGAGCACCCCUUGACUGCCUGGAUACCAAGUGCAAAGAACUGACUAUGCGAAGUGUAAAUCAUUCAAACCUUUAUUUUACACCUCAGAACAUCCACAACGAAACAGCAAUAAACGUCUUUAUUUCUGAGAUUAAAACAACCGGAUAUUGUGAGCCCUCUAUACCGAAUGAUUGCCGGUAUAUGAACCAAUCUUCCUAUCUAAUCAACGAUGGACCUUUCAGUUUUCAGGUAACACUUACAGGUUUACCUGCACUAAGGUAUUUUCCACCGACACUUCCAG